GACGAACGCUGGCGGCGUGCUUAACACAUGCAAGUCGAACGGUGAAGGGACUGGUUUUGCUGGUCCUGGAUGAGUGGCGAACGGGUGAGUAACACGUGAGUAACCUUCCCCCUUCUUCUGGAUAACCGCAUGAAAGUGUGGCUAAUACGGGAUAUUCUGGGUCUGUCGCAUGGUGGGCCUGGGAAAGAUUGCGCCUUUUUUGGUGUUUUUGGUGGGGGAUGGGCUCGCGGCCUAUCAGCUUGUUGGUGGGGUGAUGGCCUACCAAGGCGGUGACGGGUAGCCGGCCUGAGAGGGUGGACGGUCACACUGGGACUGAGACACGGCCCAGACUCCUACGGGAGGCAGCAGUGGGGAAUAUUGCACAAUGGGCGCAAGCCUGAUGCAGCGACGCCGCGUGAGGGAUGGAGGCCUUCGGGUUGUGAACCUCUUUCGCCAGUGAAACAGGCCUGCCUCUUUUUGUGGGUGGGUUGACGGUAGCUGGAGAAGAAGCGCCGGCUAACUACGUG
This 506-nucleotide ribosomal RNA is filed under the name uncultured bacterium. RNAcentral describes it as "partial 16S ribosomal RNA". It matches the Rfam family "Bacterial small subunit ribosomal RNA", at positions 28 to 507 of the family's 1533-position model. The record is from RNAcentral.